CUUAUAUAUUAUAUAUAUAUUUUUCAUAUUAUAUUUCUGCAUUUCCUCCUAUCUUACUUUCUAUAGCCCAUCU
RNAcentral lists this transfer RNA (73 nucleotides) under Prunus dulcis (almond). Its description in RNAcentral is "tRNA-Phe". Lineage: Eukaryota; Viridiplantae; Streptophyta; Magnoliopsida; Rosales; Rosaceae. The record is from RNAcentral.